GGGGCCUUAGCUCAGCUGGGAGAGCGCCUGCUUUGCACGCAGGAGGUCAUCGGUUCGAUCCCGAUAGGCU
RNAcentral lists this transfer RNA (70 nucleotides) under Parageobacillus toebii. Its description in RNAcentral is "tRNA-Ala". It matches the Rfam family "tRNA". Rfam says of the family: Transfer RNA (tRNA) molecules are approximately 80 nucleotides in length. Their secondary structure includes four short double-helical elements and three loops (D, anti-codon, and T loops). Further hydrogen bonds mediate the characteristic L-shaped molecular structure. tRNAs have two regions of fundamental functional importance: the anti-codon, which is responsible for specific mRNA codon recognition, and the 3' end, to which the tRNAs corresponding amino acid is attached (by aminoacyl-tRNA synthetases). tRNAs cope with the degeneracy of the genetic code in two manners: having more than one tRNA (with a specific anti-codon) for a particular amino acid; and 'wobble' base-pairing, i.e. permitting non-standard base-pairing at the 3rd anti-codon position. Lineage: Bacteria; Bacillati; Bacillota; Bacilli; Caryophanales; Anoxybacillaceae. The record is from RNAcentral.